This 292-nucleotide unclassified non-coding RNA is filed under the name uncultured fungus. RNAcentral describes it as "sequence contains ITS1". Lineage: Eukaryota; Fungi. The record is from RNAcentral.
GACGCUGUAGGUGUUGCCGCAGCGCGGAUAGCCCUCGAUCGUGAUGGCUGUGUCGGGUUGCGUCUGCUGGUCACGUCGAUCGUGACGGGCGGACAUGAGGGCGUCGUACACGUACGGUGUUUUCGCGAGCGGACGCCUGAGCCAGUUUCUGGUGCGCUCCAUCCUCGCCAGAACAAUCAUAAAUCCCCGAGCAAGGCUACUCCGGUCGCACGCUUGGGCAGGCGAUACCCGUCCUGCAGACCUACUGUAGCGGACGCGAUGCCGAGAGAGGUUGUCCCGAGGUCCGUAUCGA